Molecule: ribosomal RNA, 570 nt
Filed under: uncultured fungus
Lineage: Eukaryota; Fungi
Description: eukaryotic LSU rRNA
Rfam family: 5.8S ribosomal RNA (bases 208-361)
Source: RNAcentral
CGUAACAAGGUCUCCGUAGGUGAACCUGCGGAGGGAUCAUUACACAAAUAUGAAGGCGGGCUGGAACCUCUCGGGGUUACAGCCUUGCUGAAUUAUUCACCCUUGUCUUUUGCGUACUUCUUGUUUCCUUGGUGGGUUCGCCCACCACUAGGACAAACAUAAACCUUUUGUAAUUGCAAUCAGCGUCAGUAACAAAUUAAUAAUUACAACUUUCAACAACGGAUCUCUUGGUUCUGGCAUCGAUGAAGAAUGCAGCGAAAUGCGAUAAGUAGUGUGAAUUGCAGAAUUCAGUGAAUCAUCGAAUCUUUGAACGCACAUUGCGCCCUUUGGUAUUCCAAAGGGCAUGCCUGUUCGAGCGUCAUUUGUACCCUCAAGCUUUGCUUGGUGUUGGGCGUCUUGUCUCUAGCUUUGCUGGAGACUCGCCUUAAAGUAAUUGGCAGCCGGCCUACUGGUUUCGGAGCGCAGCACAAGUCGCACUCUCUAUCAGCAAAGGUCUAGCAUCCAUUAAGCCUUUUUUUCAACUUUUGACCUCGGAUCAGGUAGGGAUACCCGCUGAACUUAAGCAUAUCA